GGAGUUGUGGCUAAGUGGUAGAGUGCUCAUUUAGCACAUGUGAGGCCCUGGGUUUGAUCCACAGCACCA
This 69-nucleotide transfer RNA is filed under the name Marmota monax (woodchuck). Its description in RNAcentral is "tRNA.Ala". Lineage: Eukaryota; Metazoa; Chordata; Mammalia; Rodentia; Sciuridae. The record is from RNAcentral.